RNAcentral lists this ribosomal RNA (1930 nucleotides) under marine metagenome. RNAcentral describes it as "bacterial LSU rRNA". It matches the Rfam family "Bacterial large subunit ribosomal RNA", at positions 3 to 1995 of the family's 2925-position model. The record is from RNAcentral.
UCAAGCUACUAAGGGCGUACGGUGGAUGCCUUGGCGCCAGGAGUCGAUGAAGGACGUGGUAAGCUGCGAAAAGCUUCGGUGAGCCGCAAACAGGCGUUGAACCGGAGAUCUCCGAAUGGGGCAACCCACCCCGGGUAAUACUGGGGUAUCCCCGGCUGAAUUCAUAGGCCGGUGGAAGGCAACGCAGGGAAGUGAACCAUCUCAGUACCUGCAGGAACAGAAAACAACAGUGAUUCCGCUAGUAGCGGCGAGCGAACGCGGAUUAGCCCAAACCAUCGUGCUUGCACGGUGGGGUUGUAGGGCCUACUAGGCCGCAAGGCCGGCGAGUAAAAAAUCAGCAGGCUAGUUGAACGAUCUGGAACGAUCGGCCAUAGACGGUGAUAGCCCGGUAGACGAAAGCUCGCUGACUCGCUGGGUAGGUUCCUGAGUAUCGCGGGACACGUGGAAUCCCGCGAGAAUCUACGAGGACCAUCUCGUAAGGCUAAAUACUCCCUGGCGACCGAUAGUGAACCAGUACCGUGAGGGAAAGGUGAAAAGUACCCCUGUUAGGGGAGUGAAAAAGACUUGAAACCAGUUGCCUACAAGCGGUCGGAGCCCCCUUGUGGGGUGACGGCGUACCUUUUGCAUAAUGGGCCUGGGAGUCCUCGUCCGCAGCAAGCUUAAGCCCUUUCAGGGCGGAGGCGCAGCGAAAGCGAGUCCGAAUAGGGCGAUUCAGUUGCGGGCGCGGGACCCGAAGCGGAGGUGAUCUAUCCAUGGCCAGGUUGAAGCUCCGGUAAAACGGAGUGGAGGACCGAACCCACUUGGCUUGCGAUCCGAGGGGAUGAGCUGUGGAUAGGAGUGAAAGGCUAAUCAAACCCCGUAAUAGCUGGUUCUCUCCGAAAUAUAUUUAGGUAUAGCGUCAUAUGCUGACUACCGGGGGUAGAGCACUGAAAAGGCUAGGGCUCCUACCAGAGUACCAAACCUUACCAAACUCCGAAUACCGGUAGGUGUAGUAUGGCAGUCAGACUGUGGGGGAUAAGCUCCAUGGUCGAAAGGGAAACAGCCCAGACCACCAAUUAAGGCCCCUAAACACUGCUAAGUGGAAAAGGAGGUAGAUUUACAAAGACAGUGGGGAUGUUGGCUUAGAGGCAGCCAUCAUUUAAACAUAGCGUAACAGCUGACCCAUCGAGUGAAUCUGCGCCGAAAAUGAUCGGGACUAAGUAUAUCGCCGAAAACAUGGGUUCUUCCAUUUAUUUGGAGGAGCGGUAGGAAAGCGUUCCCGCGAGAGCGAAGCCGAAGCGUGAGCGACGGUGGACUUUCGGGAAGUGAGAAUCCAGGCUUGAGUAACGUUAAAUCCGGUUGAAAUCCGGGUCGCCGAAAGGACAAGGUUUCCCGGGCAAGGUUCGUCCGCCCGGGGUUAGUCGGGAGCUAAGGCGAGGCCGUAAGGAGUAGCCGAUGCACACUACGGUUAAUAUUCCGUGACCCGCUUGCAACUAUAUGUCGGGGACGGAUCAACGAAAGCGACAAUCCCGCUCUGAUAGGGUAGGUCAAGGCUACGGCCGCGACCAUGUCGUGGAAGGAGGUUCCAAGAAAAGCCGACCAUUUACUAUGCAAGUCUGCCCGUACCGCAAACCGACACAGGUAUCCGAGAUGAGUAUUCUAAGGCGCGUGAGUUAACCCUCCCUAAGGAACUCGGCAAAUUAGCCCCGUAUCUUCGGUAGAAGGGGCGCCCCUUUGGGGGCCGCAGUAACCAGGGCCAACCGACUGUUUAGCAAAAACACAGCUCUCUGCCAACACGCAAGUGGAUGUAUAGGGAGUGACAUGUGACCAAUGCGGAAAGGUGAACGUCCGUUGUUAACGCUCCGGGCCUAAGCCCCCGUGAAUGUCGGCCGUAACUAUAACGGUCCUAAGGUAGCGAAAUUCCUUGUCGGGUAAGUUCCGACCUGCACGA